ACCUUACUCUUCUGUUGGUUGUUACCUUAAUGUAGACUCCUCUACUUGGGCUGUAUGAACUCAGUGCAGCCUUCUUCUACUGUAUACUUUCUGUGUCUACAGAUCAGGUCAUGAUUGCUAGCUAACAUCCUUCUUAUGAUGUGUGAUUUAAAAAAAAAUAAAAUAAAAAAUCAUUGUAAAACAUCUGGUUAUAUAUGCACAGAAUAGAUAGAAUGAGUACAGAAAGAAUCAAAUAAAACAGUGUAAAGCAGCAAUAUUUGGGACCGGAAUCUUUUGUCUUGUCCUGUGAUAGAAGAGAAAAUUGGGCACUCUUUGAAAUAUUUUGGAUUAAAAGGGAAAUAUCAUCCUGUGACCUUUGAAUAGAAACUCUAGAUUCAUCACCCUGUGGAAUAAUGAAAACCUUCAGGUUGCAAGUAGACAGUAGGAGUAGGAGGCUGUUUUAGUUCUAAGGCAAGACAACUUUGCACCAAGAACAAAGAAAUCAGGGAAACCUAAUUAUUGACAUUCUGAUAUAAUCCUAUUUGAUCCAGUAAACGGGAGGGACUGAUUUCAAGUUUUUUUCUGGGGGGGGGCAGGGGGUGGAAGGAAUCUCAAAUCACGAGAAUUAUCGACUUUGUAUUUGGGGCAAAAAGCAAAGUAUCUUGACUUCAGAGCUCAGAUGUUGAGCUCUCACUUGCGUUAUGCAGGUGUCUUGAUUUAUUUAUUUUCCUAUAUCAUUCAGCUCCAUUUAGAAUAGGUGGACUUGUAUUCAGGUAAUCAUGGUUUGUUUUUUGAGGUGAAGAGCCUUGUUUAGAGAUGGCACUUAACAUGUUACGUUGUUGCAAUGUGUAAUAUCACACAGCAGUCUAUGUUUCACUCCAUGGGCAGCUGAAUGUCAUCUUUGCAUAGAGUCAUAGAAUCACAAGGCUGGAAAGGACCUACAUGAUCAUCUAGUCCAAACAUCCUCCUAUCACCAUUACUUUCCACUGAGCUGCUGGCUGCAUCUCACCCUAGGGAAUCACAUUAAUUCAAGUAGACAGAAAGACCUCUUCUUUACAAGAAGACUAUGGGAGGCUAACUUAAUAGAAGUACACUGGAAGCAGAGAGACACCCAAUGUCCCUACACCCUAUUAUAUGCUUGGGGAAGCAGCAAGUGACCUCGAAUUGAAUAUUUGCAUAGUUAAGUGGGGAUUGAUCCAAGUUCAUGCUGCCUCUGUGCUAAGCUGGCAAGAUGUUACUUAACUUGGUCUAUUAC
Molecule: long non-coding RNA, 1234 nt
Filed under: Coturnix japonica (Japanese quail)
Lineage: Eukaryota; Metazoa; Chordata; Aves; Galliformes; Phasianidae
Description: lncRNA (ENSCJPG00005017306.1)
Source: RNAcentral